Molecule: long non-coding RNA, 545 nt
Filed under: Pan troglodytes (chimpanzee)
Lineage: Eukaryota; Metazoa; Chordata; Mammalia; Primates; Hominidae
Description: long non-coding RNA NONPTRT001392
Source: RNAcentral
AAAGCACAAUAUAUCCAGAACCUGAUCAAUCUUUUCACUACCUCCAUUGCCACCAGGCUGGUCCAAGCCACCACCAUUUCUUACCUGGUCUGCCUCAAGAGCUUCCCAAUGUGUCCUUCUUGCCAUAUUUGAAUACACAUACAGUAAAGAUUAAAAAACAACCCUUGAAAAAGUAUAUUUUCUUCCUAUGCUUCAAAUAUUCCUAUUUUCUUUCAUUUCUGUACAGUUGUAAAGAGAAAAGCCUUUUUUUCUAUUCAGUAUAAAAAUGUUUAGUUUUAUUCAAGACUCAUUUUUUGAUUAAUUUGGAAUGAAAGUCCCUGUGUGGAUUCCUUUAUGGAAAUAAUGAUGAAUUGUAUCUCAGUUCUCCCUUUUCUCAGGUGGAAAGACAAAGAUUUAGAAUCAGAGCUGAGAAACUAUAUUUCAUUUAGUCAUGUAACUCUAUUGGGGUAGUAAACAUUUUUAAUUUCUUUUUGUUGAUAAUAAGUCUCCUUGUCAGUUAAUGUUUUUCAGAUAAAAACUGAAAAACAAUCCUUUGUUAAUAUCUU